AGAGCGAACGCUGGCGGCAGGCUUAACACAUGCAAGUCGAGCGCCCCGCAAGGGGAGCGGCAGACGGGUGAGUAACACGUGGGAACGUACCCUUUGGUUCGGAACAACCCAGGGAAACUUGGGCUAAUACCGGAUACGUCCGUAAGGAGAAAGAUUUAUCGCCAAGGGAUCGGCCCGCGUCUGAUUAGCUAGUUGGUGGGGUAAUGGCCCACAAGGCUACGAUCAGUAGCUGGUCUGAGAGGAUGAUCAGCCACAUUGGGACUGAGACACGGCCCAAACUCCUACGGGAGGCAGCAGUGGGGAAUAUUGGACAAUGGGGGCAACCCUGAUCCAGCCAUGCCGCGUGAGUGAUGAAGGCCUUAGGGUUGUAAAGCUCUUUUAGCUAGGGAAGAUAAUGACGGUACCUGCAGAAAAAGCCCCGGAUAACGUUCGUGCUAGCAGCCGC
This 445-nucleotide ribosomal RNA is filed under the name uncultured soil bacterium. RNAcentral's name for it is "bacterial SSU rRNA". It matches the Rfam family "Bacterial small subunit ribosomal RNA", at positions 26 to 518 of the family's 1533-position model. The record is from RNAcentral.